RNAcentral lists this ribosomal RNA (537 nucleotides) under uncultured bacterium. RNAcentral's name for it is "bacterial SSU rRNA". It matches the Rfam family "Bacterial small subunit ribosomal RNA", at positions 777 to 1315 of the family's 1533-position model. The record is from RNAcentral.
AAUAGAUACCCGGGUAGUCCACACCGUAAACGUUGGGCGCUAGGUGUGGGGCCUAUUCCAUGGGUUCCGUGCCGCAGCUAACGCAUUAAGCGCCCCGCCUGGGGAGUACGGCCGCAAGGCUAAAACUCAAAGGAAUUGACGGGGGGCCCGCACAAGCGGCGGAGCAUGCGGAUUAAUUCGAUGCAACGCGAAGAACCUUACCUGGGUUUGACAUACGCCGGAAAGCGCCAGAGAUGGUGCCCCUUUUGUCGGUGUACAGGUGGUGCAUGGCUGUCGUCAGCUCGUGUCGUGAGAUGUUGGGUUAAGUCCCGCAACGAGCGCAACCCUCGUCCUAUGUUGCCAGCACGUUAUGGUGGGGACUCAUAGGAGACUGCCGGGGUCAACUCGGAGGAAGGUGGGGAUGACGUCAAGUCAUCAUGCCCCUUAUGUCCAGGGCUUCACGCAUGCUACAAUGGCCGGUACAAAGGGCUGCGAUGCUGCAAGGCGGAGCGAAUCCCAAAAAGCCGGUCUCAGUUCGGAUUGGGGUCUGCAACUCGA